RNAcentral lists this ribosomal RNA (750 nucleotides) under Listeria monocytogenes. Its description in RNAcentral is "bacterial SSU rRNA". It matches the Rfam family "Bacterial small subunit ribosomal RNA", at positions 1 to 732 of the family's 1533-position model. The record is from RNAcentral. Lineage: Bacteria; Bacillati; Bacillota; Bacilli; Caryophanales; Listeriaceae.
UUUAAAGAGAGUUUGAUCCUGGCUCAGGACGAACGCUGGCGGCGUGCCUAAUACAUGCAAGUCGAACGAACGGAGGAAGAGCUUGCUCUUCCAAAGUUAGUGGCGGACGGGUGAGUAACACGUGGGCAACCUGCCUGUAAGUUGGGGAUAACUCCGGGAAACCGGGGCUAAUACCGAAUGAUAAAGUGUGGCGCAUGCCACGCUUUUGAAAGAUGGUUUCGGCUAUCGCUUACAGAUGGGCCCGCGGUGCAUUAGCUAGUUGGUAGGGUAAUGGCCUACCAAGGCAACGAUGCAUAGCCGACCUGAGAGGGUGAUCGGCCACACUGGGACUGAGACACGGCCCAGACUCCUACGGGAGGCAGCAGUAGGGAAUCUUCCGCAAUGGACGAAAGUCUGACGGAGCAACGCCGCGUGUAUGAAGAAGGUUUUCGGAUCGUAAAGUACUGUUGUUAGAGAAGAACAAGGAUAAGAGUAACUGCUUGUCCCUUGACGGUAUCUAACCAGAAAGCCACGGCUAACUACGUGCCAGCAGCCGCGGUAAUACGUAGGUGGCAAGCGUUGUCCGGAUUUAUUGGGCGUAAAGCGCGCGCAGGCGGUCUUUUAAGUCUGAUGUGAAAGCCCCCGGCUUAACCGGGGAGGGUCAUUGGAAACUGGAAGACUGGAGUGCAGAAGAGGAGAGUGGAAUUCCACGUGUAGCGGUGAAAUGCGUAGAUAUGUGGAGGAACACCAGUGGCGAAGGCGACUCUCUGG